RNAcentral lists this ribosomal RNA (498 nucleotides) under uncultured bacterium. Its description in RNAcentral is "partial 16S ribosomal RNA". It matches the Rfam family "Bacterial small subunit ribosomal RNA", at positions 29 to 507 of the family's 1533-position model. The record is from RNAcentral.
AGCGAACGCUGGCGGCGUGCCUAACACAUGCAAGUCGAACGUGAAAAGGGAAACCUGAGUAAAGUGGCGUACGGGUGAGUAACGCGUAGGCAAUCUACCCCAGAAUCUGGAAUAACCUGCCGAAAGGCGGGCUAAUACUGGAUAGAGCGAGGGAACUCGUAAGAGAGUUUUUCGGGAAAGGGAGCCCGCAAGGGCCUUCGUUCUGGGAUGAGCCUGCGUCUCAUUAGCUAGUUGGUAAGGUAACGGCUUACCAAGGCGAUGAUGAGUAGCUGGUCUGAGAGGAUGAUCAGCCACACUGGAACUGAAACACGGUCCAGACUCCUACGGGAGGCAGCAGUGGGGAAUCUUGCGCAAUGGACGAAAGUCUGACGCAGCCACGCCGCGUGAGUGAAGAAGGCCUUCGGGUUGUAAAGCUCUGUCGGAUGGGACGAACAUCUUCAUAGUGAAUAGCUAUGAGGACUGACGGUACCAUCAAAGGAAGCACCGGCUAACUCCGUG